RNAcentral lists this ribosomal RNA (846 nucleotides) under Leuroleberis surugaensis. RNAcentral describes it as "partial 16S ribosomal RNA". The stretch from base 375 to 532 matches the Rfam family "Archaeal large subunit ribosomal RNA", at positions 1884 to 2089 of the family's 2987-position model. Lineage: Eukaryota; Metazoa; Arthropoda; Ostracoda; Myodocopida; Cylindroleberididae. The record is from RNAcentral.
AUUUGUUAUUUAUUAUUAGAAAUGAGAUAUUAAGCGGCUGCAAGGAUAUCUGGUUACCUGAUAAUUGGCAGAUGCCAGUGGUGUUAAGCUUUUGAAGAUUAGUUCAGAAGAGAGUGUAGUUGGAGUUAGAAUAUAAUAUAGUGUAGUUGGGUUUAAUAGUAACAAAUGAGUUAGUGUAUUAUAACAAUAUUUAUGUGUGAUGAGGAUUUAGGUUGAGUAGAAAAGUGACUAUAAAGUAUCAGGUUAUAUUAUAAAGUGAUAAAAUUUUAAAAACAAUGAUAGUAUGAGUAUAGAAAACAAGUAGGAAAACGUAUAAAUAUAAAUAAAGAGAAAUUAAGUGUAAGAAAGGUGUUAAUAAAUAACUCGGCAAAUAUAUUCCUAACUGUUUAACAAAAACAUUUCCUUUUAGAAAAGUUAAAAGGUAGAGCCUGCCCGGUGUUAAGAUAAACGGCUGCGGUAUCCUGACCGUACGAAGGUAGCAUAAUAAGUAGUCUUUUAAUUGGGGACUGGAAUGAAAGGUUUAAUGAGGGGUAGACUGUUUUAUUAGCAAUGAUAGAAAUUGAUUAACAGGUAAAAAGGCCUGUGUGUAGUAAAGUGACAAGAAGACCCUAAGAGUUUUAUGGAAACAAUUUAUUUGACGGUGAGUUAGAGAGUGAUGCGGGAUAAAUUUUUUUUAGUUGACUGGGGCGGUUGAAAAAUUAUCAUUUUUGGUUAGUACUAGAAUGGUUGGAAUAUUUAAAUUUAAAUAUCCUUGUAGGAAAGCAAUAUUAAUUACCUUAGGGAUAACAGCAUAAUCUUUUUUGAGAGACCAUAUUGACAAAAAGGUUUGUGACCUCGAUGUUGGAU